RNAcentral lists this ribosomal RNA (253 nucleotides) under uncultured bacterium. RNAcentral describes it as "partial 16S ribosomal RNA". It matches the Rfam family "Bacterial small subunit ribosomal RNA", at positions 524 to 776 of the family's 1533-position model. The record is from RNAcentral.
UACGGAGGAUCCGAGCGUUAUCCGGAUUUAUUGGGUUUAAAGGGUGCGUAGGCGGGAAAUUAAGUCAGUGGUGAAAGUUUGCAGCUCAACUGUAAAAUUGCCAUUGAAACUGAUUUUCUUGAGUGUAAAUAAGGUAGGCGGAAUGUGUUGUGUAGCGGUGAAAUGCAUAGAUAUAACACAGAACACCAAUUGCGAAGGCAGCUUACCGGGCUACAACUGACGCUGAGGCACGAAAGCGUGGGGAUCAAACAGG